RNAcentral lists this ribosomal RNA (450 nucleotides) under uncultured bacterium. Its description in RNAcentral is "partial 16S ribosomal RNA". It matches the Rfam family "Bacterial small subunit ribosomal RNA", at positions 354 to 796 of the family's 1533-position model. The record is from RNAcentral.
GUGGGGAAUCUUCCACAAUGGACGAAAGUCUGAUGGAGCAACGCCGCGUGAGUGAAGAAGGGUUUCGGCUCGUAAAGCUCUGUUGUCGGGGACGAAUGUGCAGUAUUUGAAUAAAGUAGUGCAAUGACGGUACCUGACGAGGAAGCCACGGCUAACUACGUGCCAGCAGCCGCGAUAAUACGUAGGUGGCAAGCGUUGUCCGGAAGUAUUGGGCGUAAAGGGAGCGCAGGCGGGAAGGUAAGUCGGUCUUAAAAGUGCGGGGCUCAACCCCGUGAUGGGAUCGAAACUAUCUUUCUUGAGUGCAGGAGAGGAAAGUGGAAUUCCUAGUGUAGCGGUGAGAUGCGUAGAUAUUAGGAGGAACACCAGUAGCGAAGGCGACUUUCUGGACUGUAACUGACGCUGAGGCUCGAAAGCCAGGGGAGCGAACGGGAUUAGAAACCCGGGUAGUCC